UCUCUCCGUUUUUAAUUUGAACUAUUACCAAACGCCGCACCGCCAGUCACCACUCACCACCUUCGCUCUCGCCUCUCUCUCGCGCUCUCUCCCUCUCUCUAGAUUGCACUAGGGUUUACGACGAUUGACGGCGUCGUAUUCGGAAUCCCAGGUCGAAUUCCUGAUCCCCAGUCCCGAUCUAUCUCCACUGCGCCUGCCUCAUGCGAUCUCGCCCUGAACUCGGCGGUCUCUUCGGUCGGAUGUAGAUCGACGAUUUUAAGUAAUCGGAAUGCUCGGUUGAUGAUUCUCUAUUCUUGUUAUUUCUCUGUCUCAUCGCUUUCUGGAUUUUUGAGUUUUGGAUCAUGGUUGAAGAUUCUCUGGACUCUGGGCGAUCCACGCUUUUUUUUUUCCAGAUCAGAAUCCAUGAAGAAUCUUCGCCGCUUUAUAUUUUCGAUGUAUAAGCUACAUUGGGAGAGGGGAACUAGAGUGCUUCGGUGCUGAGAGAUAAAACAGCUUUGAUUUGUGGCGUCUAAGCGGCUGGAUCGGCCAUCCUGAGUAUUUUUAAAUAUGAUGGUGGAUUCUGCUACAGCUGCGGGUCCUGGAGCUACAUCCAAUGUUUCACCUGAAAAGGAUGCUUCAGGAACUGGCAAUUAUGCCACUGGAGGAUGGAAAAGUGAGGAUGGAAGUUUCAGUUGUGGGUACUCUAGCUUCAGGGGGAAAAGAGCAAGCAUGGAGGACUUCUGUGAUUUGAAAUCAUCAACAAUUGAUGGGCAAACAAUUGGCCUUUUUGGAAUAUUUGAUGGACAUGGUGGUUCACGAGCUGCAGAGUACUUGAAGGAACACUUGUUUGACAACCUAAUGAAGCACUCAAAAUUCAUGACUGACACGAAGCUUGCAAUAAGUGAAACAUACAAGAAAACAGAUACAGAUUUCUUAGAUGUGGAAAGCAACUCUUCCAGAGAUGAUGGUUCUACAGCUUCAACAGCUAUCUUGAUUGGCAAGCACUUAUAUGUAGCGAAUGUUGGUGAUUCACGUACUGUGAUAUCAAGGGCUGGAAAAGCAAUCCCCCUUUCUGAGGAUCACAAGCCAAACAGAAGUGACGAGCGCAAGAGAAUUGAGGAUGCUGGAGGAUUUGUCAUUUGGGCUGGCACUUGGAGGGUUGGAGGUGUAUUGGCAAUGUCAAGAGCAUUUGGCAACCGCCUUCUAAAACAGUUUGUUGUCGCAGAACCUGAGAUUCAGGAACAAGUGGUGGAUGGAGAAUCAGAAUAUCUAGUUUUGGCCAGUGAUGGUCUUUGGGAUGUGGUGACCAAUGAGGAUGCUGUUGCAAUUAUGAAAGUUGAAGAAGAAGCUGACAAUGCAACAAGGAAGUUAGCAGAGACUGCCUUCUUCCGUGGCAGUGCGGACAACAUAACAUGCAUCGUAGUUAGAUUCAAUCACGAUAAACAGGGUGUAGAUUCUCCUCUUCCUUCCACAGCUGCUCAAGCUUGAUAGAUGUCUGAAUUCCACGCAGAAGCAUUCUCCUCUUCCUUCCACAGCUGCUCAAGCUUGAUAGAUGUCUGAAUUCCACGCAGAAGCUACUCAAGUAAUUUGAUCAAGUUCUUAGUUCCAUUGCAUUGGAGUGGGGAAGCUCCUCCAGAUUGCAAUUUAAGCAGAACAAGUCCCAAAUGAAACUUGUUGAGAAGGCCAAAGCUCAUCCAGAUCAAGCUAAAGAAUACAAGCCCUCAACCUGUGCAAUUUGGGAUGCGGUUGAUGAACACAUCUAGAAACAUCAAUAGGAAGAAAGUUUCAGGAAACAAAGGAUUAAGUCCCGGCCUGUCAAUUGUUUUCAGCUGUCGGUCGAGUCUGAUAACAGAUGGUAAUCGAGCAAAUUCUUGCACAAGGCUAAAACAAAGACCAAAUUUAACUUGAAAGGAUUGGCAUUGGCACUAGGAUUCGACAUUCAAAUCUUAACAGGUACUGAAGAUCAUGCACCGAGUAGGACUGCUCCUAUGCUCAAAGGAUACAUGAGAGACUACAUCAGAUGAGGUUUACAAGCAUGUUUUUUUCUUCUUCACUUCUCAUAGGCAGUGCUGAAAUAGCAGCUUGUAACAUUCAUGCACAAGAUCUGCAAAACCUUGUUGUUCGAUUGGCUGACACAGCGUGGAGCCUUAAACUGGCUCAAGACGCCCCCGAGUCCAACAUAAUGGUCUAAGAUCAUAUUGAAUGUUCCUUUCUGCACAAUGCGAAGUUCUAGAGGUCCAAUAGCACUGACUUUUCUGGAGCUAACAUAGCCAGCAUCAACAAAAGAUAGGUCCAAGCAAUUGCAGCAGCUUUGGAGAAUCUCAUCGCUCGAAUCGGAGCUUAGCUCCCAAAAGAUCACAUAGUGUCCUGGGUCUGUCGAAGUGUCAACAUGGCUAGUGAAAUCUACAACCUCGAUUUUUUCCUCAGCCAAAAGCUUGGCUGCUUCUUCAACUGACAACUGCAGGUCUUUCUCAGUGUUCUUAUCUAUGUUGAUGCUCAGCAUGAGGCUUCUCCUGCAUAUGAACCGAAGCUCAGGCGCACAGUUGUGAAAGCCAGUUACUUUUACCACAUCUCCCAAUCUAUACCGAUACAAACCUGCAGUAGAAUGCACAUCGAUCAGUUAUGUGUAUAAAAAACUUGGGCAUAUGACAAGAAAUGUGUGAAGGAACUAGUAAGCUUCAAUAGCAAGGACUCAAUGUGAUUUUGAAGAACAAAUAUCAAAGUGGGAAGUUGAAUUAUGUAACAAAGAAGUGAAGUCGUCUUUCCCAUCACGAUGUUGUUAGCUGACUUCGCGAGAACAGUUAAUGGCGAUAUGUUUUUAUGCA
RNA transcript from Zingiber officinale, 2804 nucleotides. It is a transcript of the gene named probable protein phosphatase 2C 52, with no coding region annotated. The record is from RefSeq and is a predicted model, not a curated record. NCBI's taxonomy places the organism in Eukaryota, Viridiplantae, Streptophyta, Magnoliopsida, Zingiberales, Zingiberaceae. The transcript is spliced from 11 exons.